UACAGAGGGUGCAAGCGUUGCUCGGAAUUACUGGGCGUAAAGCGCGUGUAGGCUGCGAUGUAAGUCGGACGUGAAAGCCCUUGGCUUAACCAAGGGAGUGCAUCCGAUACUGUGUCGCUUGAGUACCGGAGGGGAUGGCGGAAUUCCCGGUGUAGAGGUGAAAUUCGUAGAUAUCGGGAGGAACACCUGUGGCGAAGGCGGCCAUCUGGACGGUAACUGACGCUGAGACGCGAAAGCGUGGGUAGCAAACAGG
Molecule: ribosomal RNA, 253 nt
Filed under: uncultured bacterium
Lineage: Bacteria
Description: partial 16S ribosomal RNA
Rfam family: Bacterial small subunit ribosomal RNA
Source: RNAcentral